RNAcentral lists this ribosomal RNA (678 nucleotides) under Acaulospora koskei. Its description in RNAcentral is "SSU rRNA". It matches the Rfam family "Eukaryotic small subunit ribosomal RNA", at positions 380 to 1060 of the family's 1831-position model. Lineage: Eukaryota; Fungi; Glomeromycota; Glomeromycetes; Diversisporales; Acaulosporaceae. The record is from RNAcentral.
AUUCCGGAGAGGGAGCCUGAGAAACGGCUACCACAUCCAAGGAAGGCAGCAGGCGCGCAAAUUACCCAAUCCCAACACGGGGAGGUAGUGACAAUAAAUAACAAUAUGGGGCCUUUACGGGUCUCGUAAUUGGAAUGAGUACAAUUUAAAUCUCUUAACGAGGAACAAUUGGAGGGCAAGUCUGGUGCCAGCAGCCGCGGUAAUUCCAGCUCCAAUAGCGUAUAUUAAAGUUGUUGCAGUUAAAAAGCUCGUAGUUGAAUUUCGGGAUCUAUCCGUCGGUCGGGCCUCACGGUCCGCACUGGUGUGAUGGAUUCCUACCUUCUGAAUAACCGGUAUGCCAUUAAUUUGAUGUGCCGGGGAAGCAGAACCAUUACCUUGAAAAAAUUAGAGUGCUCAAAGCAGGCCUAUGCCUGAAUACAUUAGCAUGGAAUAAUAAAAUAGGACGGCAUGGUUCUAUUUUGUUGGUUUCUAGGAUCACCGUAAUGAUUAAUAGGGAUAGUUGGGGGCAUUAGUAUUCAAUUGUCAGAGGUGAAAUUCUUGGAUUUAUUGAAGACUAACUUCUGCGAAAGCAUUUGCCAAGGAUGUUUUCAUUAAUCAAGAACGAAAGUUAGGGGAUCGAAGACGAUCAGAUACCGUCGUAGUCUUAACCAUAAACUAUGCCGACUAGGGAUCGGACGA